GAUGAACGCUAGCGGCAGGCUUAAUACAUGCAAGUCGAACGGUAACAUGAGUAGCAAUACUUGAUGACGAGUGGCGCACGGGUGCGUAACGCGUAUGCAACUUACCUUCAACUGGAAGAUAGCCCCUCGAAAGAGGGAUUAAUAUUCCAUAACUUUAUGAUUUGGCAUCAAAUUAUAAUUAAAGAUCAGUCGGUUGAAGAUAGGCAUGCGUGACAUCAGCUAGUUGGUGAGGUAACAGCUCACCAAGGCGACGACGGGUAGCCGGCCUGAGAGGGUGACCGGCCACGACUGGGACUGAGACACGGCCCAGACUCCUACGGGGGGCAGCAGUGGGGGAUCUUGCACAAUGGGCGAAAGCCUGAUGCAGCGACGCCGCGUGAGCGAAGAAGGCCUCGGUUGUAAGCUCUGUCUGGAGGACGGAACAAAAUGACGGUACCUCCGGAGGAAGCCACGGCUAACUACGUGCCAGCAGCCGCGGUAA
RNAcentral lists this ribosomal RNA (481 nucleotides) under uncultured bacterium. RNAcentral's name for it is "bacterial SSU rRNA". It matches the Rfam family "Bacterial small subunit ribosomal RNA", at positions 28 to 523 of the family's 1533-position model. The record is from RNAcentral.